This is a long non-coding RNA of Syngnathoides biaculeatus (alligator pipefish), 1618 nucleotides long. RefSeq lists it as uncharacterized. Lineage: Eukaryota; Metazoa; Chordata; Actinopteri; Syngnathiformes; Syngnathidae. The record is from RefSeq and is a predicted model, not a curated record. The transcript has 6 exons.
GAACUCUCUGUUUUUGUGCACACAGUCUCCGGUCAUUGUCACAUUUCCUGUCGCCCGUGGUGGCUUCUUUUUGUAGAAAAGAAGGACAAGACCCUGCGGCCCUGCAUCGAUUACCAAGGACUGAAUGACAUCACGAUAAAGAACAGGUACCCUCUCCACCUCAUUGCCACGGCCUUCAAACUUCUGAAGGGGGCCAAGAUUUUUUACCAAGCUGGACUUGAAGAAUGCAUACCACCUGGUGCGAAUAAGAGAGGCGGAUGAGUGGAAGACUGCUUUGAACAGACCCACGGGGCAUUAUGUAUACUUGACGACAUCCUGAUUUUUUUUCCUCAGACGAAAAAUCCCAUGUCAGGCGGUGUUACAACAGAAAAGGAGAUGCGCAUGAAUCCCAGCGAGGUUGAGGCCGUUCUUCAUUGGCCCACUCCAACUAUCCGCAAGGAGGGGCCGCCAUUGGUCUUUCCUUGAGCUAUCACUCGGAAACCAAUGGCCAGACCGAGCGCGUAAACCAGGACUUGGAAGUGGGUCUCCAGUGUCUUGCCUCUCACGAACUGCUGCACGGUUAUCCACUCUCCCUCUUCCCAUCUGGAGAUUCGAACUCGCUGGUGUCGUCUACGUUGGUCGUUAUGUGGCGCUGCAAAAGAACCUGGGAGUGAGCCCGACAGCUGAUACUGCGCAAUGGUCUCUCCUAUAAGGCCGCUGUAGACCUUUAGAGGGCUGUGUACCGAACCCUGCCUCAUUAUCUACCAACCCUCUACGCCUGCUGAUUCUGUUACUACCGCUUCCUUUGACUGCCUGCCUGUGUUUCAACCUUGGACUGACUGAAGAUGCUUUCUGAAUUAUACGUGAUCUCGUGAGUCUUGCAUUGUGUGUUCAGCCUAGUGUUCAGUCUUGCAACAGUAGCAGAACGUUCAAAUCUAUUGUAAAGCUGACUGGAAGCCAGUGUAAAAACUUGGAGUUAUAUGCUCUGACCUCUUUGUACUGGUCAGAACCCACGCUGUAGCAUUUUCAUUCCCUCGUUCCCCUCAUUAUGUAUGCGUACCCUCGUGACCAGUAAGUAACCCUUCAUAAGUACCUCUCAUGCCAGUAUAAGGUGCCGACAAAUAUUUUGAAAAAUAAAUGCAUCUAUUAACGCUACCAUGAAUAAAAAAGGAGGUGAAAGAUGUGCCUGAUAAAUAUAAAGCUUCAAAGGGCACAAAAUUAAAAAAAAGUAACACUCCAGCACAGAAACCACUGACGCAGCCGACCAUGGGGACAUUGUUGGGUGCCCCGUCUCCCACCCCUAAAAUCACAUCAUUUCAAUAUGUAUUUUUUUUCACUAUGGUUUGAUGUGUUUUGAGCUAAAACAUUUUCUGAAAACAUAAAAAAUGCUGUCCAAUGAUGUGUAGAUUGUGGUAAUCGGUUAAUGCGGUUAAUGAAGAUAUUUCUAUUUAAAGAUCAAACGCGACAUUUCAGCAAUAGUCUAGAAAACAAGGAUGUUUUGUUUCCACUAAGAGGGACUGUAUUAUGGUAUCUUUGUUGUUGCAUUUAUGUUAGUAUAUUUGAAUUGAAUUUAUAACUGCAGUGGACCCCAAGCUUCCUGUUGAUACCAAUCAUGAUGAGAUAUUCCUUGUUUUGUAUG